AUUGAACGCUGGCGGCAGGCUUAACACAUGCAAGUCGAGCGGGGUGAUGGUGCUUGCACUAUCACUUAGCGGCGGACGGGUGAGUAAUGCUUAGGAAUCUGCCUAUUAGUGGGGGACAACAUCUCGAAAGGGAUGCUAAUACCGCAUACGUCCUACGGGAGAAAGCAGGGGAUCACUUGUGACCUUGCGCUAAUAGAUGAGCCUAAGUCGGAUUAGCUAGUUGGUGGGGUAAAGGCCUACCAAGGCGACGAUCUGUAGCGGGUCUGAGAGGAUGAUCCGCCACACUGGGACUGAGGCACGGCCCAGACUCCUACGGGAGGCAGCAGUGGGGAAUAUUGGACAAUGGGGGGAACCCUGAUCCAGCCAUGCCGCGUGUGUGAAGAAGGCCUUAUGGUUGUAAAGCACUUUAAGUUGGGAGGAAGGGCGCUCGGUGAAUACCCAGGCGUCUUGACGUUACCGACAGAAUAAGCACCGGCUAACUUCGUGCCAGCAGCCGCCGUAA
Molecule: ribosomal RNA, 502 nt
Filed under: uncultured bacterium
Lineage: Bacteria
Description: partial 16S ribosomal RNA
Rfam family: Bacterial small subunit ribosomal RNA
Source: RNAcentral